Molecule: non-coding RNA, 244 nt
Organism: Pelobates cultripes (western spadefoot toad)
Lineage: Eukaryota; Metazoa; Chordata; Amphibia; Anura; Pelobatidae
Source: the annotation of a GenBank genome assembly
GUGUCUGUGUUUAUAUAAUGCAUCUAUUCCAUUAACAUUUAGACAGAGCAUUCCACCCCCCUGCUUCAUUGCUUAUCACUUGGUUAGUGAAAGUAAGAAGAAACUAUGUUUCUUGUUAUCCUGAAGAUAGCAAAAUGGAGUCCGCUCUGUUCUGAGUGACUCUGGCAAUAUACACUUUUAAUUUCUUUUUAGCACAAAAUGUCUGUUGAUAUAAAUAUUCUGACAGACUCCGGCAGGUAAUCGA